This 226-nucleotide long non-coding RNA is filed under the name Lathyrus oleraceus (garden pea). Its description in RNAcentral is "Pisum sativum (pea) long non-coding RNA (PSAT_LNC029573)". The record is from RNAcentral. Lineage: Eukaryota; Viridiplantae; Streptophyta; Magnoliopsida; Fabales; Fabaceae.
GAACAACAACUUCAGAAGACCAAGACCCAGAGGGGAUCGAUCAGAAUCAACCUCAAAAGGUAAAACUAACAAAGAUAUUACUUGCUAUGAAUGUAAAGAAACAGGUCACUACAGGAAUGAAUGCCCCAAGCUAAAGAAAGACAAUUCUAGAAAAGAAAGUUUCAAGAAAAAUACCUUCAGGACAAAGAAAGGAUUAAUGGCUACCUGGGAUGAUAGUGAAUCUGAG